GCCUUGGGACAUGUACGCAGCACGGACGGUCCACACAACUACGCACGUAGCAGAAAGUUCAUCGCUGUCAGACUGCUGAGUGACAUACACUCACUGUCAAGACAGAAGAUAGGUGCUGAUGAUGUAAUGUGAGAAAUACAGCAGAGGACUUCACUAAGUCUUAGAGCCACGCAGCUGAGCUGUAGAAGGGGGGCCAACGUGCAGAACCACAAGUCCAAAGAAAAAGAAAAGCCCAGGCAUCCGGCAGACACGUUCCAGCUUCCUGUCAGAAAUCCCAGAGGGUUCAUUUCCUGAGUUAUUUGAGAUCCCACCAUACAAGAUGCCUGUAGUGAACCAAGGACUGGCAGUGCUGUAGAUCACCAGCAGAGGGCGCCAACUAGACGAGGGCCACCACUCCUUUGACAUCAAUGUAUGAGCUUUACCUCUAAAACAGCACUGAUUCAUGUCUAUUUUUUUUCCCCAUUUAUUUAUUUUUCAAUUUAAAAAAACACUUUUGUCAGACUUUUACUAUAAGUGAC
Long non-coding RNA from Scleropages formosus (Asian bonytongue), 518 nucleotides. RefSeq lists it as uncharacterized. The record is from RefSeq and is a predicted model, not a curated record. The transcript has 3 exons. NCBI's taxonomy places the organism in Eukaryota, Metazoa, Chordata, Actinopteri, Osteoglossiformes, Osteoglossidae.